UGAGCAUAGCUUCUCUAAUGUUUCUAG
Molecule: non-coding RNA, 27 nt
Filed under: Rattus norvegicus (Norway rat)
Lineage: Eukaryota; Metazoa; Chordata; Mammalia; Rodentia; Muridae
Source: RNAcentral